UUUUAUGAGAGUUUGAUCCUGGCUCAGGACGAACGCUGGCGGCGUGCCUAAUACAUGCAAGUCGAACGCUUCUUUUUCCACCGGAGCUUGCUCCACCGGAAAAAGAGGAGUGGCGAACGGGUGAGUAACACGUGGGUAACCUGCCCAUCAGAAGGGGAUAACACUUGGAAACAGGU
Molecule: ribosomal RNA, 176 nt
Filed under: Enterococcus faecium
Lineage: Bacteria; Bacillati; Bacillota; Bacilli; Lactobacillales; Enterococcaceae
Description: partial 16S ribosomal RNA
Rfam family: Bacterial small subunit ribosomal RNA
Source: RNAcentral